CAAGGAAUUUUCGGCAAUGGGGGCAACCCUGACCGAGCAACGCCGCGUGGAGGAUGAAGGUUUUCGGAUUGUAAACUCCUUUUUGGUGGGAAGACAAGAAAAAGGACGGUACCACCAGAAUAAGCCCCGGCUAACUACGUGCCAGCAGCCGCGGUAAUACGUAGGGGGCAAGCGUUGUCCGGAUUUAUUGGGCGUAAAGGGCGCGCAGGCGGCGCUUCAAGUCCGUUGUGAAAUUUCAGGGCUUAACCCUGACGGGUCAACGGAAACUGAAGGGCUAGAGUGCAGCAGAGGAAAGCGGAAUUCCCGGUGUAGUGGUGAAAUGCGUAGAUAUCGGGAGGAACACCAGAGGCGAAAGCGGCUUUCUGGGCUGUAACUGACGCUGAGGCGCGAAGGCUAGGGGAGCAAAC
Molecule: ribosomal RNA, 407 nt
Filed under: uncultured bacterium
Lineage: Bacteria
Description: bacterial SSU rRNA
Rfam family: Bacterial small subunit ribosomal RNA
Source: RNAcentral